CAGCAGCCGCGGUAAUACCAGCACCUCGAGUGGUCAGGAGGUUUAUUGGGCCUAAAGCAUCCGUAGCCGGUUGCAUAAGUUUUCGGUUAAAUCUAUGCGCUUAACGUAUAGGCCGCCGAAAAUACUGUGCAGCUAGGGAGUGGGAGAGGUACACGGUACUCGAUAGGAAGGGGUAAAAUCCUUUGAUCUAUUGAUGACCACCUGUGGCGAAGGCGGUGUACCAGAACACGUUCGACGGUGAGGGAUGAAAGCUGGGGGAGCAAACCGGAUUAGAUACCCCUUGUAGUCCCUGUCUCUUAUA
RNAcentral lists this ribosomal RNA (301 nucleotides) under uncultured bacterium. RNAcentral's name for it is "partial 16S ribosomal RNA". It matches the Rfam family "Archaeal small subunit ribosomal RNA", at positions 459 to 759 of the family's 1478-position model. The record is from RNAcentral.